RNAcentral lists this ribosomal RNA (301 nucleotides) under uncultured bacterium. Its description in RNAcentral is "partial 16S ribosomal RNA". It matches the Rfam family "Bacterial small subunit ribosomal RNA", at positions 509 to 807 of the family's 1533-position model. The record is from RNAcentral.
CAGUCGCCACGGGAAUACGGAGGGGGCUAGCGUUGUUCGGAAUUGUUGGGCGUAAAGGGCUCGCAGGCGGUUUCUUAAGUCUGAUGUGAAAGCCCCCGGCUCAACCGGGGAGGGUCAUUGGAAACUGGGAAACUUGAGUGCAGAAGAGGAGAGUGGAAUUCCACGUGUAGCGGUGAAAUGCGUAGAGAUGUGGAGGAACACCAGUGGCGAAGGCGACUCUCUGGUCUGUAACUGACGCUGAGGAGCGAAAGCGUGGGGAGCGAACAGGAUUAGAUACCCCUGUAGUCCCUGUCUCUUAUAC